CGACCCCAGGUCAGGCGGGGCUACCCGCUGAGUU
This 34-nucleotide ribosomal RNA is filed under the name Opuntia martiniana. Its description in RNAcentral is "partial 26S ribosomal RNA". Lineage: Eukaryota; Viridiplantae; Streptophyta; Magnoliopsida; Caryophyllales; Cactaceae. The record is from RNAcentral.